AUGGCCUCUUUUGGCGUGUCCGCUCUCGACGCGAACGCCGCUGGUGCCGCCGCCGCCCCCGCCAGCGCGCUGACGGUGGGAGAUCAGGUUGCAUUCGGGAAGCCAGCAGCGUCUUCAACCGCGCUGACGGCCGUGGGGAUAGUCGGCAACAUCACAGCCGUUCUUGUUCUUGCCAUCCCCUACUUCAUUUUCGUCAAGCCUGUGAGGAAGGCCAAGUCCGUGGGAGCAUGGAAACCCUACGGCUUCGUCAUGAUGCUCACGAACUGCAUGUUCUGGAUAUUGUUCGCCCUCCCAGCCUUCAAGCACUCGCUACUCGUCCUCGGUGUGAACGCCGCAGGGGUCGUCAUACAGGGGGUCUACAUCGCCGUGUACCUCUGGUAUGCCCCCGCCCCCUCACGCAGGACUACUGUCAAGCUCCUCCUCGGCGUACUUGCCAUUUGUACAGUGCUUGCCGUGCUGGUGAUAUGGUUCGUCAUGGUGAAGAAGGUGUGGAGCAUUAGAUUCAUGGGUGUGAUUGCCUCCUCCUUCACCACCCUGAUGUUCGUGGUCGGACUCGUCGCGGAUAUGAUGGAGCUGGAGGAGGGGAGGGCUGGUCAGAUCGUGUUCCAGCUGGUCGUGAACAUGAUGAACGCUGCAAUCUGGACUUCAUUCGGGUUCCUCUCUGCACCCGCCAACGCGUUCGUCGUUGUCCCGAAUGUGCUUGGGGUGGCAUGCACGGCUGUUGACAUGGCCGCGCGCCUCAUCUACAGCAAGCUGACGACGAGCCCUGCUGCCAGAGCUGCAUAG
RNAcentral lists this ribosomal RNA (786 nucleotides) under Triticum aestivum (bread wheat). Its description in RNAcentral is "partial small subunit ribosomal RNA". The record is from RNAcentral. Lineage: Eukaryota; Viridiplantae; Streptophyta; Magnoliopsida; Poales; Poaceae.